UACACCGCUGGCCUUUGAAAUAAGGAUUACUCGCCAUUACUGGAAAGAUGAGUGGAAAUGAAUCCGAUACAGGGCGCAUGGUAAAGCGGUCGCACCUGCCAUGCGUAGGAGAUAGAA
Molecule: small RNA, 117 nt
Filed under: Eubacteriaceae bacterium CHKCI004
Lineage: Bacteria; Bacillati; Bacillota; Clostridia; Eubacteriales; Eubacteriaceae
Description: RT-4 RNA
Rfam family: RT-4 RNA
Source: Rfam by way of RNAcentral